This 174-nucleotide ribosomal RNA is filed under the name uncultured Microbacterium sp. RNAcentral's name for it is "partial 16S ribosomal RNA". It matches the Rfam family "Bacterial small subunit ribosomal RNA", at positions 338 to 524 of the family's 1533-position model. Lineage: Bacteria; Bacillati; Actinomycetota; Actinomycetes; Micrococcales; Microbacteriaceae. The record is from RNAcentral.
CCUACGGGAGGCAGCAGUGGGGAAUAUUGCACAAUGGGCGCAAGCCUGAUGCAGCAACGCCGCGUGGGGGAUGACGGCCUUCGGGUUGUAAACCUCUUUUAGCAGGGAAGAAGCGAAAGUGACGGUACCUGCAGAAAAAGCACCGGCUAACUACGUGCCAGCAGCCGCGGUAAU